GAUGAAGAACGCAGCGAAAUGCGAUAAGUAAUGUGAAUUGCAGAAUUCAGUGAAUCAUCGAAUCUUUGAACGCACAUUGCGCCCGCCAGUAUUCUGGCGGGCAUGCCUGUUCGAGCGUCAUUUCAACCCUCAAACCCAGCUUGGUGUUGGGGAUCGGCACAGGCGCCCUCGGGCGCCCGCCGUCCCCUAAAUCUAGUGGCGGUCCCGCUGCAGCCUCCUCUGCGUAGUAGUUUUCUCCUCGCAAGGGCAGCUCGGUGGCGACCUCGCCGUAAAACCCCCAACUUCUGAAAGGUUGACCUCGAAUCAGGUAGGAAUACCCGCUGAACUUAAGCAUAUCAAUAAGCGGAGGA
This 350-nucleotide unclassified non-coding RNA is filed under the name soil metagenome. Its description in RNAcentral is "partial contains 5.8S ribosomal RNA, internal transcribed spacer 2, and large subunit ribosomal RNA". The stretch from base 1 to 120 matches the Rfam family "5.8S ribosomal RNA", at positions 35 to 154 of the family's 154-position model. The record is from RNAcentral.